GACGAACGCUGGCGGCGUGCCUAAUACAUGCAAGUAGAACGCACAGUUUAUACCGUAGCUUGCUACACCAUAAACUGUGAGUUGCGAACGGGUGAGUAACGCGUAGGUAACCUGCCUGGUAGCGGGGGAUAACUAUUGGAAACGAUAGCUAAUACCGCAUAAUAUUAAUUAUUGCAUGAUAAUUAAUUGAAAGGUGCAAUUGCACCACUACCAGAUGGACCUGCGUUGUAUUAGCUAGUAGGUGAGGUAACGGCUCACCUAGGCGACGAUACAUAGCCGACCUGAGAGGGUGAUCGGCCACACUGGGACUGAGACACGGCCCAGACUCCUACGGGAGGCAGCAGUAGGGAAUCUUCGGCAAUGGACGAAAGUCUGACCGAGCAACGCCGCGUGAGUGAAGAAGGUUUUCGGAUCGUAAAGCUCUGUUGUAAGAGAAGAACGGGUGUGAGAGUGGAAAGUUCACACUGUGACGGUAUCUUACCAGAAAGGGACGGCUAACUACGUGCCAGCAGCCGCGGUAAUACGUAGGUCCCGAGCGUUGUCCGGAUUUAUUGGGCGUAAAGCGAGCGCAGGCGGUUAGAUAAGUCUGAAGUUAAAGGCUGUGGCUUAACCAUAGUACGCUUUGGAAACUGUUUAACUUGAGUGCAGAAGGGGAGAGUGGAAUUCCAUGUGUAGCGGUGAAAUGCGUAGAUAUAUGGAGGAACACCGGUGGCGAAAGCGGCUCUCUGGUCUGUAACUGACGCUGAGGCUCGAAAGCGUGGGGGAGCGAACAGG
RNAcentral lists this ribosomal RNA (774 nucleotides) under uncultured Streptococcus sp. RNAcentral's name for it is "bacterial SSU rRNA". It matches the Rfam family "Bacterial small subunit ribosomal RNA", at positions 28 to 776 of the family's 1533-position model. Lineage: Bacteria; Bacillati; Bacillota; Bacilli; Lactobacillales; Streptococcaceae. The record is from RNAcentral.